UCACCACGUAUCCGUAUCGGGCUUUGUGGUGGCAUAUUUUUUCACACAUUAUAGGAGUGUAAUAAGUGGCCCGUAUAGCCGGCAUUAACGUUCCUGAU
Molecule: small RNA, 98 nt
Filed under: bovine gut metagenome
Also listed under: 1 other name
Description: Alpha operon ribosome binding site
Rfam family: Alpha operon ribosome binding site
About the family: The bacterial alpha operon ribosome binding site is surrounded by this complex pseudoknotted structure.
Source: RNAcentral